CGCAGCACGAGUAGUGGUCACUUUUAUUGAGCCUAAAGCGUUCGUAGCCGGUUUUGUAAAUCUUCAGAUAAAGCCUGAAGCUUAACUCCAGAAAGUCUGAAGAGACUGCAAGACUUGAGAUCGGGUGAGGUUAAACGUACUUUCAGGGUAGGGGUAAAAUCCUGUAAUCCCGGAAGGACGACCAGUGGCGAAAGCGUUUAACUAGAACGAAUCUGACGGUAAGGAACGAAGGCUAGGGUAGCAAACCGGAUUAGAUACCCGGGUAGUCCUAGCUGUAAACAUUGCCCAUUUGAUGUUGCUUUUCCGUUGAGGGAAGGCAGUGUCGGAGCGAAGGUGUUAAAUGGGCCGCUUGGGAAGUAUGGUCGCAAGACUGAAACUUAAAGGAAUUGGCGGGGGAGCACCGCAACGGGAGGAAUGUGCGGUUUAAUUGGAUUCAACGCCGGAAAACUCACCGGGAACGACCUGUGCAUGAGAGUCAACCUGACGAGCUUACUCGAUAGCAGGAGAGGUGGUGCAUGGCCGUCGUCAGCUCGUACCGUAGGGCGUUCACUUAAGUGUGAUAACGAGCGUGACCCACAUCUUUAAUUGCAAAUGUAUAUGAGAAUAUGCAUGCACUUUAGAGAA
Molecule: ribosomal RNA, 624 nt
Filed under: uncultured bacterium
Lineage: Bacteria
Description: bacterial SSU rRNA
Rfam family: Archaeal small subunit ribosomal RNA
Source: RNAcentral